GGAGGGGGAUAACUACUGGAAACGGUGGCUAAUACCGCAUAACGUCGCAAGACCAAAGAGGGGGACCUUCGGGCCUCUUGCCAUCAGAUGUGCCCAGAUGGGAUUAGCUAGUUGGUGAGGUAACGGCUCACCAAGGCGACGAUCCCUAGCUGGUCUGAGAGGAUGACCAGCCACACUGGAACUGAGACACGGUCCAGACUCCUACGGGAGGCAGCAGUGGGGAAUAUUGCACAAUGGGCGCAAGCCUGAUGCAGCCAUGCCGCGUGUAUGAAGAAGGCCUUCGGGUUGUAAAGUACUUUCAGCGGGGAGGAAGGUGUUGUGGUUAAUAACCGCAGCAAUUGACGUUACCCGCAGAAGAAGCACCGGCUAACUCCGUGCCAGCAGCCGCGGUAAUACGGAGGGUGCAAGCGUUAAUCGGAAUUACUGGGCGUAAAGCGCACGCAGGCGGUCUGUCAAGUCGGAUGUGAAAUCCCCGGGCUCAACCUGGGAACUGCAUUCGAAACUGGCAGGCUUGAGUCUUGUAGAGGGGGGUAGAAUUCCAGGUGUAGCGGUGAAAUGCGUAGAGAUCUGGAGGAAUACCGGUGGCGAAGGCGGCCCCCUGGACAAAGACUGACGCUCAGGUGCGAAAGCGUGGGGAGCAAACAGGAUUAGAUACCCUGGUAGUCCACGCCGUAAACGAUGUCUACUUGGAGGUUGUGCCCUUGAGGCGUGGCUUCCGGAGCUAACGCGUUAAGUAGACCGCCUGGGGAGUACGGCCGCAAGGUUAAAACUCAAAUGAAUUGACGGGGGCCCGCACAAGCGGUGGAGCAUGUGGUUUAAUUCGAUGCAACGCGAAGAACCUUACCUGGUCUUGACAUCCACAGAAGAAUCCAGAGAUGGAUUUGUGCCUUCGGGAACUGUGAGACAGGUGCUGCAUGGCUGUCGUCAGCUCGUGUUGUGAAAUGUUGGGUUAAGUCCCGCAACGAGCGCAACCCUUAUCCUUUGUUGCCAGCGGUCCGGCCGGGAACUCAAAGGAGACUGCCAGUGAUAAACUGGAGGAAGGUGGGGAUGACGUCAAGUCAUCAUGGCCCUUACGACCAGGGCUACACACGUGCUACAAUGGCGCAUACAAAGAGAAGCGACCUCGCGAGAGCAAGCGGACCUCAUAAAGUGCGUCGUAGUCCGGAUUGGAGUCUGCAACUCGACUCCAUGAAGUCGGAAUCGCUAGUAAUCGUGGAUCAGAAUGCCACGGUGAAUACGUUCCCGGGCCUUGUACACACCGCCCGUCACACCAUGGGAGUGGGUUGCAAAAGAAGUAGGUAGCUUAACCUUCGGGAGGGCGCUUACCACUUUGUGAUUCAUGACUGGGGUGAAGUCGUAACAAGGUAACCGUAGGGGAACCUGCGGUUGGAUCACCUCCUUA
RNAcentral lists this ribosomal RNA (1402 nucleotides) under Salmonella enterica subsp. enterica serovar Infantis. RNAcentral describes it as "bacterial SSU rRNA". It matches the Rfam family "Bacterial small subunit ribosomal RNA". The record is from RNAcentral. Lineage: Bacteria; Pseudomonadati; Pseudomonadota; Gammaproteobacteria; Enterobacterales; Enterobacteriaceae.